Molecule: ribosomal RNA, 424 nt
Filed under: uncultured bacterium
Lineage: Bacteria
Description: bacterial SSU rRNA
Rfam family: Bacterial small subunit ribosomal RNA
Source: RNAcentral
AGGGAAUCUUCCGCAAUGGACGAAAGUCUGACGGAGCAACGCCGCGUGAGUGAUGAAGGUUUUCGGAUCGUAAAGCUCUGUUGCCAGGGAAGAACGUCUUGGAGAGUAACUGCUCUAAGAGUGACGGUACCUGAGAAGAAAGCCCCGGCUAACUACGUGCCAGCAGCCGCGGUAAUACGUAGGGGGCGAGCGUUGUCCGGAAUUAUUGGGCGUAAAGCGCGCGCAGGCGGCUGUUUAAGUCUGGUGUUUAAUCCUGGGGCUCAACCCCGGGUCGCACUGGAAACUGGACGGCUUGAGUGCAGAAGAGGAGAGUGGAAUUCCACGUGUAGCGGUGAAAUGCGUAGAGAUGUGGAGGAACACCAGUGGCGAAGGCGACUCUCUGGGCUGUAACUGACGCUGAGGCGCGAAAGCGUGGGGAGCAAAC